This is a long non-coding RNA of Scatophagus argus, 358 nucleotides long. RefSeq lists it as uncharacterized. NCBI's taxonomy places the organism in Eukaryota, Metazoa, Chordata, Actinopteri, Scatophagidae. The transcript has 2 exons. The record is from RefSeq and is a predicted model, not a curated record.
ACUGUUUGAGACAGUGUUUAUGAGUUAAUGAAAUGGUUUUAAAAAGGUUGAUAAAUAAGUAUGAGUUCAUAAUGAGUUCAUAAACAAUUUAGAGUAUUAAAAAUGUGAGUAAAGAGACAGAAAGAGUUCCAAUGUGAUUUUAUUUUGAAAUGUACAGACAUGAUUUGUUGUAUGAGGAAUUGUGGGUAGAAGGAGAGCCCGCGCUUUGAGAAAAGAGAGUCUGGAUAUGGCAGCGCAUGGUCAGAAAACACAAAAAAGUGACUACACUAUGUUCUAGAGGCGCACACGUUUUCACGGUGUCUCAAGAUUGUUUGUCGUCGGAGGAGAAUGAGGAGAAAAUAAAAAAGAUGAAUCUUGA